UGCUGACAAUGGUUACAAUUGGGUGG
Molecule: non-coding RNA, 26 nt
Filed under: Rattus norvegicus (Norway rat)
Lineage: Eukaryota; Metazoa; Chordata; Mammalia; Rodentia; Muridae
Source: RNAcentral